This 442-nucleotide ribosomal RNA is filed under the name uncultured bacterium. RNAcentral describes it as "partial 16S ribosomal RNA". It matches the Rfam family "Bacterial small subunit ribosomal RNA", at positions 338 to 795 of the family's 1533-position model. The record is from RNAcentral.
CCUACGGGAGGCUGCAGUGGGGAAUAUUGGGCAAUGGGCGCAAGCCUGACCCAGCAACGCCGCGUGAAGGAAGAAGGCUUUCGGGUUGUAAACUUCUUUUAAGAGGGAAGAGCGGAAGACGGUACCUCUUGAAUAAGCACCGGCUAACUACGUGCCAGCAGCCGCGGUAAUACGUAGGUGGCAAGCGUUGUCCGGAUUUACUGGGGGUAAAGGGCGUGCAGCCGGGAAGACAAGUCAGAUGUGAAAUCCCGCGGCUCAACCGCGGAACUGCAUUUGAAACUGUUUUUCUUGAGUACCGGAGAGGUCAUCGGAAUUCCUUGUGUAGCGGUGAAAUGCGUAGAUAUAAGGAAGAACACCAGUGGCGAAGGCGGAUGACUGGACGGCAACUGACGGUGAGGCGCGAAAGCGUGGGGAGCAAACAGGAUUAGAUACCCGUGUAGUC